AGAGUUUGAUCAUGGCUCAGAUUGAACGCUGGCGGAAUGCUUUACACAUGCAAGUCGAACGGCAGCACGGGGCAACCUGGUGGCGAGUGGCGAACGGGUGAGUAAUACAUCGGAACGUGCCCAAUCGUGGGGAUAACGUAGCGAAAGUUACGCUAAUACCGCAUACGAUCUACGGAUGAAAGCGGGGAUCGCAAGACCUCGCGCGAAUGGAGCGGCCGAUGUCAGAUUAGGUAGUUGGUGGGUAAAGGCUCACCAAGCCAACGAUCUGUAGCUGGUCUGAGAGGACGACCAGCCACACUGGAACUGAGACACGGUCCAGACUCCUACGGGAGGCAGCAGUGGGGAAUUUUGGACAAUGGGCGCAAGCCUGAUCCAGCCAUUCCGCGUGCAGGAUGAAGGCCUUCGGGUUGUAAACUGCUUUUGUACGGAACGAAAAGGUCCUGGUUAAUACCUGGGGCUCAUGACGGUACCGUAAGAAUAAGCACCGGCUAACUACGUG
Molecule: ribosomal RNA, 499 nt
Filed under: uncultured bacterium
Lineage: Bacteria
Description: bacterial SSU rRNA
Rfam family: Bacterial small subunit ribosomal RNA
Source: RNAcentral